Dermacentor andersoni is the source of this 427-nucleotide long non-coding RNA. RefSeq lists it as uncharacterized. The record is from RefSeq and is a predicted model, not a curated record. Lineage: Eukaryota; Metazoa; Arthropoda; Arachnida; Ixodida; Ixodidae.
GCUAGCUUUGCAGUUUGAAGAGAGUUCCGUGACACAAUUUAAGGCCCGCAGUGCAGCACGUUUUAAAGUAUUGGGAUCGCUUUUGCAAGCUUUCUACUGAGCUACACAUCCAACAACAUUAAAAACAAGGUAUAAAUAAACGAGAUGAGUACCCCAAGGCCCAGUCCAUUUUUCCCCGGUCUCAAGAGCACAAUUCCCUGUCUCAAAGAAACGGUCUUCAGGAGCAAGGAGUGGAUAUCGUGGACUGACAUGUCUGACGCAAUGCUAGCUAGCUGCAAGAUUCAAGUGGACUAGUGACUGCAAAGGGACCGCCAAGUCAAACCAGGAGAAUCGCCCCUGCUAAGAUUAGUCCUGUAUUUCCUUCCCUGGUCCACUUAAUCCGUGGACUGUUGGAUCAGUGGUCUGGUAAAUUUUCUAAAUGCUCUAA